CCUACGGGAGGCAGCAGUGGGGGAUAUUGCACAAUGGGGGAAACCCUGAUGCAGCGACGCCGCGUGGGUGAAGAAGCGCCUCGGCGCGUAAAGCCCUGUCAGCCGGGAAGAAAAUUCCGGUACCUGAAGCAGAAGCCCCGGCUAACUACGUGCCAGCACCCGCGGUAAUACGCAGGGGGCAAGGGUUAUCCGGAUUUCCUGGGUGUAAUGGGGGCUCAUUCGGCGAUGCAAGCCAGGAGUGAAAGCCCGGGGCCCAACCCCGGGACAGCUCUUGGAACUGCGUGGCUAGAGUGCAGGAGGGGCAGGCGGAAUUCCUGGUGUAGCGGUGAAAUGCGUAGAUAUCAGGAGGAACACCGGUGGCGAAGGCGGCAUGCUGGACUGCAACUGACGUUGAGGCCCGAAAGCGUGGGGAGCAAACAGGAUUAGAUACCCCGGUAGUC
This 440-nucleotide ribosomal RNA is filed under the name uncultured bacterium. RNAcentral describes it as "partial 16S ribosomal RNA". It matches the Rfam family "Bacterial small subunit ribosomal RNA", at positions 338 to 795 of the family's 1533-position model. The record is from RNAcentral.